This 301-nucleotide ribosomal RNA is filed under the name uncultured bacterium. Its description in RNAcentral is "partial 16S ribosomal RNA". It matches the Rfam family "Bacterial small subunit ribosomal RNA", at positions 512 to 808 of the family's 1533-position model. The record is from RNAcentral.
CAUAGCCGCGGGAAUACAGAGGGUGCAAGCGUUAAUCGGAAUUACUGGGCGUAAAGCGCGCGUAGGUGGUUUGUUAAGUUGGAUGUGAAAUCCCCGGGCUCAACCUGGGAACUGCAUCCAAAACUGGCAAGCUAGAGUAUGGUAGAGGGUGGUGGAAUUUCCUGUGUAGCGGUGAAAUGCGUAGAUAUAGGAAGGAACACCAGUGGCGAAGGCGACCACCUGGACUGAUACUGACACUGAGGUGCGAAAGCGUGGGGAGCAAACAGGAUUAGAUACCCGCGUAGUCCCUGUCUCUUAUACA